GAUGAAGAACGUAGCGAAAUGCGAUAAGUAAUGUGAAUUGCAGAAUUCAGUGAAUCAUCGAAUCUUUGAACGCACAUUGCGCCCGCCAGAAUUCUGGCGGGCAUGCCUGUUCGAGCGUCAUUUCAACCAUCAAGCCCCAGGCUUGUGUUGGAGCCCUGCGGCUGCCGCAGCCUCCCAAAACCAGUGGCGGGCUCGCUAUCACACCGAGUGCAGUAGUUUACUCUUCGCUCAGGGCGUGUGGCGGGUGCUAGCCGUAAAACCCCCAACUUCUCAAGGUUGACCUCGGAUCAGGUAGGAAUACCCGCUGAACUUAAGCAUAUCAAUAAGCGGAGGA
This 334-nucleotide unclassified non-coding RNA is filed under the name soil metagenome. RNAcentral's name for it is "partial contains 5.8S ribosomal RNA, internal transcribed spacer 2, and large subunit ribosomal RNA". The stretch from base 1 to 120 matches the Rfam family "5.8S ribosomal RNA", at positions 35 to 154 of the family's 154-position model. The record is from RNAcentral.